ACAGCUCCAAGGCCGCGAGGCUCACACCGUACAGGACGUCUUGCACGUCUCUUUCGUGAGCGGGCUAAGGUCUGAGUCCAUCUCUAUCGGCUCUAGCAGAGCCUAGUCUCAACAGGCUGCUCGACAUACCAGAAAUACGCCCUCUAUCCAUAUCCGAAGAACUUGUCCAUGUGUGCCCGUCAGCUAACAUGUAUAGGGAGGCGGGAUAGAGCGGCUUGGUACGUGUCGAUUGGAAUGGGUGUAUCGUCUUCCUCUAUGCCAUUGUUGUCCGUUCACCUUUGCCAUCGCGCCGAGUCAUCUUGUUUGGCACAGAGUUCACACGCAAAGCCGCUGCUGCAGCUUGGGUAGCUCUGUUGUGUUCCUCGACGCCUCUGUAAAGUGCCGUAGAUGCUUGCAGAGUUGUUGAGGAAAGGCGUAUGAAGCAUUGGUAGGAGACAUUGGCUGGUUGGUCGGCCAACUAUCCUUCAGUUCACUUCGCGGCUCAUGACCUUGCUCUCACCUUGAGGUGGGGACAUCAUGAAACUCGAUUCAGACUACUCUCGGGCUGU
Molecule: RNase P RNA, 548 nt
Filed under: Heterobasidion irregulare TC 32-1
Lineage: Eukaryota; Fungi; Basidiomycota; Agaricomycetes; Russulales; Bondarzewiaceae
Description: Nuclear RNase P
Rfam family: Nuclear RNase P
About the family: Ribonuclease P (RNase P) is a ubiquitous endoribonuclease, found in archaea, bacteria and eukarya as well as chloroplasts and mitochondria.
Source: Rfam by way of RNAcentral